Molecule: transfer RNA, 86 nt
Filed under: Candidatus Melainabacteria bacterium
Lineage: Bacteria; Bacillati; Candidatus Melainabacteria
Also listed under: 4 other names
Description: tRNA-Ser
Source: RNAcentral
GGAGCAGACCUGGCUGGAUGAAGACACCGCCUUGAAAGCGGCUGCCCUGAAAGGGGUUGGGGGUUCGAGUCCCUCCUGCUCCGCCA